This 71-nucleotide transfer RNA is filed under the name Camelus bactrianus (Bactrian camel). It matches the Rfam family "tRNA". From Rfam's summary of the family: Transfer RNA (tRNA) molecules are approximately 80 nucleotides in length. Their secondary structure includes four short double-helical elements and three loops (D, anti-codon, and T loops). The record is from Rfam by way of RNAcentral. Lineage: Eukaryota; Metazoa; Chordata; Mammalia; Artiodactyla; Camelidae. RNAcentral also lists the same sequence under 3 other names.
GGGUAUAGCUCAAACGGUAGAGUGUAUGCUUAGCAUGCACGAGGUCCUGGGUUCAAUCCCCAGUACUUCCU